This 683-nucleotide ribosomal RNA is filed under the name Pseudomonas edaphica. RNAcentral describes it as "bacterial SSU rRNA". It matches the Rfam family "Bacterial small subunit ribosomal RNA", at positions 86 to 765 of the family's 1533-position model. The record is from RNAcentral. Lineage: Bacteria; Pseudomonadati; Pseudomonadota; Gammaproteobacteria; Pseudomonadales; Pseudomonadaceae.
CUCUUGAGAGCGGCGGACGGGUGAGUAAUGCCUAGGAAUCUGCCUGGUAGUGGGGGAUAACGUUCGGAAACGGACGCUAAUACCGCAUACGUCCUACGGGAGAAAGCAGGGGACCUUCGGGCCUUGCGCUAUCAGAUGAGCCUAGGUCGGAUUAGCUAGUUGGUGAGGUAAUGGCUCACCAAGGCGACGAUCCGUAACUGGUCUGAGAGGAUGAUCAGUCACACUGGAACUGAGACACGGUCCAGACUCCUACGGGAGGCAGCAGUGGGGAAUAUUGGACAAUGGGCGAAAGCCUGAUCCAGCCAUGCCGCGUGUGUGAAGAAGGUCUUCGGAUUGUAAAGCACUUUAAGUUGGGAGGAAGGGCAGUAAAUUAAUACUUUGCUGUUUUGACGUUACCGACAGAAUAAGCACCGGCUAACUCUGUGCCAGCAGCCGCGGUAAUACAGAGGGUGCAAGCGUUAAUCGGAAUUACUGGGCGUAAAGCGCGCGUAGGUGGUUUGUUAAGUUGGAUGUGAAAUCCCCGGGCUCAACCUGGGAACUGCAUUCAAAACUGACUGACUAGAGUAUGGUAGAGGGUGGUGGAAUUUCCUGUGUAGCGGUGAAAUGCGUAGAUAUAGGAAGGAACACCAGUGGCGAAGGCGACCACCUGGACUAAUACUGACACUGAGGUGCGAAAGCGUGGG